Molecule: long non-coding RNA, 3385 nt
Filed under: Capsicum annuum
Lineage: Eukaryota; Viridiplantae; Streptophyta; Magnoliopsida; Solanales; Solanaceae
Description: long non-coding RNA (CANN_LNC001813)
Source: RNAcentral
AUCUGAUCGCUCUCAUUUGAAGUGUUUGAGAUUGACCUUCUCAUUGAUGACCAAGUCAUUUUUGAUUCACAAAUUGAUUGUUUCAAUUCAUUCAAGUGAGGCUUUAACUCAAUCAACAAACAUCUCAACAUUUUACUUAUUUCCUUACAUGAUUUUUUCUUUCAACUCUAUCUUCCUGGUCAAGUGUUUCAGGAUUAGAUUAGGUUUUAAGAUCUGGUGAAAAUUCAUCAUGCAUAUCGUAUUAUUAGAAUCACCAUAAAAGAAUUGAAUGAAGAAAAAGAAAAACAAAUAAACAAUAUUUUAAAAAAUAAAAAUAGAAAUAAAGGGACGCACAUUUUGUUGACAGAAAGACAAAAGGGUUUGAACAAAGAUGAUAAGAAAUAAGACAAGAUAAAUCCCGAACUACAACCCUAAAAUAAUUCGGAUAGCAAAAAUAAAAAUAAAACAGACUACCAAAAAUCCCUCAUCGUGAGGAGUGAAGAUUGACUUCUAAAUUUUUUGAACUUAAUAUUUUAGCCACUGAUUUGCACGUUGGCCUUAAUGGAGUCUUCGCCCUCAUUGCGACAUCAUCUAUUUUUUUCCAACCAUUCUGAAGUUAUCGCCAUUAAAGUCUCUCCAAAAUAAAUCGUCAGCAGUUUCUCUUUUUCCUUACUCCUCAUAAUUGAUUUCAAAACCUUUUUAGAUGAGUCAAAGGAUGACCAUGACCCUCGUAUAAGUCCAACUUUGGUGUUUUGGAGGUUAGAGGCAAGUAAACAUUGAAACAUAUAAAAAUCCUUGUGAGAAUUCUCUUUCUCUCUCUCAAUAUUUGCAUGUUUCUUAUAUUUUACUCCAAAUUUCUCACUUUUCAGGCCAGUUCUUCUUACUCCUCAUUUAUAACAGUCUACACCACCUCAUAUCAAACCCUAUACCAAUUUGUGUGUCAUCUUGCCUGUUCUUUGAACCUGGUGUUGUAUUGGUGAGAUGCCAAUUUAGCGACAAGCCAACCACCUUAACACUAUUUUGAUUUUGGAGAAAAUUAAUGUGUCAGAGUUCAAAAUUUUUCUUUAUAAGACCACCGAAUCCAUGAAGGACUUCCUACGUAUCUCAUUAAAAUGAGAAUCAGGUGAGCGUAGUUCUUAAAAAUUAUGUCGUACAAAACUCAACCUCAAGACCCCUAAAGGUUUACGGCUAUUAAGAUUUAUAUUUUUUUUGUAAAAACUUAGCCGCAUGAUCCCUAAACAUUCAGGGCUAUUAAGAUUUAUAUAUAUUUUUAUUUUGUAACACUUAGCCUCAUGAUCCUUAAAGAUUCUGAGCUAUUAAGAUAUAUAUAUAUAAAUUGAACUUGAGAAUAAAAAAAAAAUUAUGAAAGUAUUCAUAUUUUCAAAAUAUUCCCCAACAAAUCUAUGAAUAAUUUUUCAAAAGAUAGGGUCGUACCCCGAAAAAGGCUUCCUAUGUAUCUCAAUUAAGAGUGAGAAUCUGACCCUCGUAGUUCAUGAAGACCGUAAAACCAUGUUACUAAAAUUUUUCAUUUCUUUUAAAAAUAAAAUUUUCUUUGAAAAAUAAUUCACUAAAUAUGAGGAUAAUUUAAUCUCUUGCAUUUUAAAGUUGCUUAAAGCUGGUCAACAAAAAAACAACCUUCCAAACAAAUAUCAAAGAACACGUAGGAUGCACAUGUUGGUCUUUAUAAAGUAGGUCACCUGUCCUAGACAGACCCGGCCCCUGUGCCGGGUCCCGCUAAGUCAAAUGCAUAUGAUGCAAAUAAAGUAACACCUAAUAACGAUAACCAGAUUCUGAGUUUUCAGUUCUUCUAAGUUUAAGCAUAAUAGGGAUAGGUGUCUAAAUUGGCUUACUCGAGCAGACACUCGAGCCGUGGAGGCACAACUUGGUCGGUAGCAGGACAACACCGCCUUCGUCGCCAAUCCGAACCCCGCCUAACAUGUAUGACUAUAGUUCUUCACCAGGUGCCUUGACACUUCGGCUAUCUCAAAAAGAAAGUAGCUUCCUAUGUAUCUCAAUUAAGAGUGAGAAUCUGACCCUCGUAGUUCAUGAAGACCGUAAAACCAUGUUACUAAAAUUUUUCAUUUCUUUUAAAAAUAAAAUUUUCUUUGAAAAAUAAUUCACUAAAUAUGAGGAUAAUUUAAUCUCUUGCAUUUUAAAGUUGCUUAAAGCUGGUCAACAAAAAAACAACCUUCCAAACAAAUAUCAAAGAACACGUAGGAUGCACAUGUUGGUCUUUAUAAAGUAGGUCACCUGUCCUAGACAGACCCGGCCCCUGUGCCGGGUCCCGCUAAGUCAAAUGCAUAUGAUGCAAAUAAAGUAACACCUAAUAACGAUAACCAGAUUCUGAGUUUUCAGUUCUUCUAAGUUUAAGCAUAAUAGGGAUAGGUGUCUAAAUUGGCUUACUCGAGCAGACACUCGAGCCGUGGAGGCACAACUUGGUCGGUAGCAGGACAACACCGCCUUCGUCGCCAAUCCGAACCCCGCCUAACAUGUAUGACUAUAGUUCUUCACCAGGUGCCUUGACACUUCGGCUAUCUCAAAAAGAAAGUAGGAUGCAUGUGUUGCAUUCUUUCUAUCCUAUUUCAGAGACUCAGAGGGGGUGCGUAAGAGAAGGCAGUAUAUAAUACAAUUCAAUUAAUAUCAAAGCGGUAAAUGAGCAACAAGUAGCACAUAAGGCCAACAAACACAAUAUCAACAAUAAUUAAAGCAAGUAUAAGUCAAUAUAAAAAGCUCAAAUUCUUAUUAGUCCCCAGCAGAGUCGCCAGAGAUGUCACACCCCUUUUUCCGCUCGUGGCUUCAAGGUCGAAGGUUUUUUCCAAUUAAAGUGACGGUUUUGAAUAGGGAUUAAUUUAAUUUACAGAGUCGCCACUUGGAAUUGAGUUAUGGUGUUCCAACUCACCUUUUUGAAUCCCUAGUCAAAAGAAAAUGACUCUUUUUAUUGGUCUGCAAAAAUAGAAGACCGGGUAAGUAAUUCUGUUGACCGAGGAGAAGGUGUGAGGCACCCCUCGAGUCCCAUGGUUCUAGCACAGUCGCUUUUAUUAACUUAUCUUAACUUAAAUUAUUUUGAUAAUUAUGUUGGGGCCUAGGUUCGCUCAUUUUUUAUAUCUAAAAUCUGUCUAUAACUCUUGUAUUAAAUCGGUGAAAAUUAAUUUUAGAAAAAUAUUUGUCAAGGUGCAUUAUUGCAUCUUUGAAUUUUUAAAUGUCUCAAAAAGAUACGUACGUCGCAUUCUUAAUUGAGAUGAAUAUUUUUAAAAUGUAUCUAAACUUUAUCUAACGUUAAAAGCAUUUGUUUUUUUUUAUAAACUUGUAACAGUUAUUUAUUUGAAAUAUUAUUUAAUUUAAACAAUAAAAUUGAGUAAAAUUCAUUUUUUAAAGAAUAAAUAAUUUAAUAAAUAUUCAAUAAAUU